UUACAUAAUGAUUACAUAUUCUCCAAGAUGUUCAGAACAACCUACUGCCCGAGUUCCUUCAAAAACUGUGUGCAAGUGUACCUAGGAGAAUUGAUGCUGUGUUGGAGGCAAAAAGGGGUCACACCAAAUAUUGAUUCAUUUAGAUUCCUCUUCUGUUCAUUCACUGCAUUUUGUUAAUUUAUGAAAAUAAACUAUUAGCACUUCCAUUUUUGAAAGAAUUCUUAGUUUA
Long non-coding RNA from Etheostoma spectabile (orangethroat darter), 229 nucleotides. RefSeq lists it as uncharacterized. The record is from RefSeq and is a predicted model, not a curated record. NCBI's taxonomy places the organism in Eukaryota, Metazoa, Chordata, Actinopteri, Perciformes, Percidae. The transcript is spliced from 3 exons.